UCAUAGGUCCUCCCCGUCCUCACAGCCGGCG
This 31-nucleotide small RNA is filed under the name Bombyx mori (domestic silkworm). Its description in RNAcentral is "ovarian small RNA-25938". Lineage: Eukaryota; Metazoa; Arthropoda; Insecta; Lepidoptera; Bombycidae. The record is from RNAcentral.